Molecule: long non-coding RNA, 1624 nt
Filed under: Homo sapiens (human)
Lineage: Eukaryota; Metazoa; Chordata; Mammalia; Primates; Hominidae
Description: HSALNT0372564
Source: RNAcentral
CCCGCCCGCCCACCGCCGGCGCGCCCACCCCCGCUCCCCGGCGGGCUCCGCUGGCAAUAAUUACCUGCGAGCCGGGACUGCCUCCGCCCUGGCACUGGGGGCGGGGGCAGGGGCGCCGAGGGCGAGGGGUGCCCGGGAGGGGCGCGGCAGCGGGCAAGGUGCGGCAGGCGUCGCCCGCGGACGUCGGAGAAAGGCACCUGUUUCUCCCAGCUCCCGGGAGCCGUGCAGGACGUUUCGUGGACGCUCAGGUUCAUUCUCUUUGCCUGCCGCGCGUCCUCUGAGAGCAGCCCUGGAGCGGCUUCGUCGGGGAGAAAAGGCGCCGACCAACUUUCCCCGACUUGGGGGCGGGAUCCUGCCGGGCCCUAGCGGAGCGCGCCGCUGGGGAAGCACCUGCUCUCACUUUUCUCCCACUCGGAGGCCCAAAGAAGCUCCGGCUGGACAUUGCUGGAGCCAAUUAGGGACUGGCCGAAAUCCUAGAGGGACUGCCAGGUGGGACAGCCGAGGGGGAACUUCGCCGUGCGCUGAAAGGGAUUCCCCCUUAGGACGAUGGGAGCCUUUUAACACCAAUGGAGCAGGAGAUGCACUGAUUCACAUGCACCCAAAUACAACACCAACCCCACAAGCUCUCAGCUCACCAGUCACAGACAUCACCUUCUACGGACAUAUUUUUAUUUCACUGAGCUACAACUACGGGCAAGGCAACGACGAGCUGUGUGGAGACUUCAAAACAUAGAGGACAACCUCUGCCCUCAAAGACAACAUCCAACUGAAGAAAGGAUCAAGAAAGAUGAAAAUAAAUAAGUUGUUUGAUUAUGCUGUGUUAAUAAAUGACCCAUAGAAUAAUUGUCAGAGAAAUUCAGAAGAAGAAGAAAUUACCCUAUUUUGAGUUGUUUGGAAAAGUUUAACAGAGAAAAAUAUGACAAUAUCUGGGGUUUAAAGAGUAAAACUCGCACAAAGACCUGGAGGGAAGGAAUCAAGAGAUGCCAACACUGAAGAAAAAAACAUGUUCAUAGUGUAUUCGUGGUGAAAAGAAAGGGUUUUUGUGCGCAAGGAAGUAAUGGACCAAAAUGCAGUAGUCCCAGUGCCUAGAAUCAUGCUGAGCACAAAACAAGUAUUUGUUUAAUGAGCAAAUGAAAGUAGAGUUUCAUUUGUCCAGUUAACAAAAUACACAAGUAUUCCCUGCCCUCCUCUUUUUAAAAUUAAUUAAUUAAUUAAUUUUUAACAGACAAAAAAUUAUAUAUAUUUUCAUGUACAGCAUGUUAUUUUAAAAUAUAUACACAUUUGUAGAGUGGCUAAAUUGAGCUAAUAAACGUAUGUAUUACCUCACAUACUUAUUUUUUUUGUGGUAAGAAGACUUAAAAUCUGGCCGGGCGUGGUGGCUCACACCUGUAAUCCCAGCACUUUGAGAGGCCGAGGCAGGUGGACCACCUAAGGUCAGGAGUUCGAGACCAGCCUGGCCAACAUGGUGAAACUCCUGUCUCUACUAAAAAUACAAAAAUUCACCAACAUGGUGGCAGGCACCUGUAAUCCCAGCUACUCAGGAGGCUGAGGCAGGAGAAUCACUUGAACCCGGGAGGCGGAGGUUGCAGUGAGCUGAGAUCACACCACUGUACUCCAGCUUUGG